UGUAGCUAGGGAUGAAAUGGUUACCGGUUUCACGAUUUAACCACGGUAAAAUUCCCGACGAUUAGUAUUAUCGUUUCAAAUGUAUAUUCUGAUUUAAAACCAUGUUUGAUUACCACGGCGUGCAGAAGUCUGAUGCAACGUGGGUUUGGUUUUGUGUGAAAACAUGGCGGAAGGCAGUGACGGCGCUCUGGAGAUUUUUCAGCCUUCUAAGAGGACCAAAUCUGAACUGUGGUUGUAUUUUGGGUUUUCCCCUGAGUGCUGAGGGAAACUUAAUCGAAGAUGGUCACCCUGUCUGCAGAACAUGCAACAAAAUAAUUGCUGCGAAAGGGGGCAACACUUCAAAUCUCUCCAGUCAUCUUCGUGACCAUCACCCACUACUUUAUAGCGAAUGCAAGAGGGUCGUGCAGCAAACCCAGUGACGCUACUGGUCCCUCAUCUACGGUUGUGACAGACACUCCAGCAAGCAUUUAAAAAGCAGGCUGCUUAUGGACCCACGUCAAAACAUGCUCAAGACCUCACUGCAGCCCUUUCAUAUUACAUUGCAAAGAACAUGAUGCCAUUUCAUAUUGUUGAGAGGCCUGGAUUUCUGUGGCUGGUGAAGGUUGCUGUGCCCCACGACAAAGUGCCAUCACCAACAUUAUUUUCCGAGACUGACAUCCCAAACCUGUACAACCAGGUUAAAGCUGAUGUUGGAAAAAGUUUGGCUCAAGGCACAUGGUUUGCUGCAACUACUGACCUCUGGACCAGUGAAAGUGGGGGUGGUUCAACCCUACAUCAGCGUCACUAUCCAUUACCUCACCCCAGACUGGCAACUGGAAUCAAACUGCCUGGAAACACAAUUCUUCCCAGAAGAUCACUCGGCUCACAACAUCAGAGUUUUUUUGGAGAAUAUGUCAUGGACCACAUCACCAAUGAUGUUCUGGUGGAAACGGAUACGGAGCCGUCCCUGACUAAGGAGAUGAAAAGGGUAAUGAGAGAAGACCUUAACAACAUACACAGAGAAGGCAAAGAGAGUCAUGCACAUGGCUUGUUUCAUUGUCCCCUGCUUCAAAAAGAGCUUGUUAGAUGAGCCUGAGGCUGCAAACGUUGACACUGACAGCUGUGUCCAGGAGGCUUUGAAGCUGACAGCUUCACAAGUCAGUGAAGAACCACAAAGCACCAGCAGCGCCUCCACCACCCCCAUAGCGGCAUCGGAGAGGAUGUUCUUACACGCACAUUGGAUGUGUUUACAUAUGGUUGUAUUGUUCUUACAUGCACAUUGGAUGUGUUUACAUAUGGUUGUAUUGUUCUUACACGCACAUUGGAUGUGUUUACAUAUGGUUGUAUUGUUCUUACAUGCACAUUGGAUGUGUUUACAUAUGGUUGUAUUGUUCUUACAUGCACAUGGCUUUACUUGUGUUGCUUAAGGUUGUGUUCAUUAAAACCUGCACUAAGGAUACUAAGUGCAUGGCGCCAUCUUUAAUGUUAAGGAUAUUAUUUUUAAAAGUGCAUAGUGCUGCUAAUUGUAUUUGUUGUUUGUUGGUUUUCAGUAUAAAACUUGAUGAAAUUAA
Molecule: long non-coding RNA, 1550 nt
Organism: Oncorhynchus kisutch (coho salmon)
Lineage: Eukaryota; Metazoa; Chordata; Actinopteri; Salmoniformes; Salmonidae
Exons: 2
Source: RefSeq, a predicted model, not a curated record